CCUACGGGUGGCAGCAGUGGGGAAUCUUCCACAAUGGGGGAAACCCUGAUGCAGCGACGCCGCGUGAGUGAUGAAGUUUUUCGGUACGUAAAGCUCUAUCAUCAGGGAAGAUAGUGACUGUACCUGACUAAUAAGCUCUCGGUAAUUACGUACCAGCAGCCGCGGUAAUACGAAUGGCGCAAGCGUGAUGCGGAUUUACUGGGUGAAAAGGGAGCGCAGACGGCAGGGCAAGUCUGAUGUGAAAGUCCGGGGCUCAACCCCGUGAGUGCAUUGGAAACUGGGCGGCUAGAGUGCAGGAGAGGAGAGUGGAAUUCCAAGUGUAGCGGUGAAAUGCGUAGAUAUAAGGAGGAACACCAGUGGCGAAAGCGGCUUACUGGACUGUAACUGACGUUGAGGCUCGAAAGCGUGGGGAGCAAACAGGAUUAGAUACCCCUGUAGUC
Molecule: ribosomal RNA, 440 nt
Filed under: uncultured bacterium
Lineage: Bacteria
Description: partial 16S ribosomal RNA
Rfam family: Bacterial small subunit ribosomal RNA
Source: RNAcentral